Long non-coding RNA from Agrilus planipennis (emerald ash borer), 357 nucleotides. RefSeq lists it as uncharacterized. The record is from RefSeq and is a predicted model, not a curated record. The transcript is spliced from 3 exons. NCBI's taxonomy places the organism in Eukaryota, Metazoa, Arthropoda, Insecta, Coleoptera, Buprestidae.
GGUCAUUGAGAGGGAGUAAACGAUCGGUGUCAAAACAACCGACCGAAGUAGCUAACUGAAUUUACCAUAGACAUGGACAUGUCUAUGGAACUUAGUUUAAAACAAUUUAAUUGUUUUAUUAACAAAGAAAAACGAUAUAUUCCAGUAACAUACUUUAGAGUAGUGGGGGAAAAAAUAUAAGUAUUUGAAUAGUAAACAAUCAGUGCGCCUGCUCAAUAAUCAGGUGGAUGUUAUUGUGAAGUGCGGAUGUUAUUAAACAACUAUUUAUCUAAUGGAGGCUUAGGUUUACUAGACUUGCGAUGACCACUGUGACCUUUCUUAUCAUCUUCUGGAUCAAUUACACGUAAUGCCUCUUCA